GAUGAAGAACGCAGCGAAAUGCGAUACGUAGUGUGAAUUGCAGAAUUCCGUGAACCAUCAAAUCUUUGAACGCAUAUUGCGCUCGAGGCUUCGGCCGAGAGCAUGUCUGCCUCAGCGUCGGUAUUACCCCUCGCUUCUCAACCCCUGGUUGAUGCCUGCCUGCCUUUGCAGUUGGCUAGAAGCGGAUUUGGCUUUCCCAAUUGCCUUUGGUAGUUGGGUCAGCUGAAGCACAGAGGCUUGAGCAAGGACCCUUAUUGGGCUUCAACUGGAUAGGUAGAACUGGUCUUAGGACCAACUACACGAAGUUGUUGCUUGUGGUCUUUGUCUGGAGGCCAGCAGGAAACCUUUAUACCUUCGACCUGAGCUCAGGCAAGAUUACCCGCUGAACUUAAGCAUAUCAAUAAGCGGAGGA
Molecule: unclassified non-coding RNA, 412 nt
Filed under: soil metagenome
Description: partial contains 5.8S ribosomal RNA, internal transcribed spacer 2, and large subunit ribosomal RNA
Rfam family: 5.8S ribosomal RNA (bases 1-120)
Source: RNAcentral